This 403-nucleotide ribosomal RNA is filed under the name uncultured bacterium. RNAcentral describes it as "partial 16S ribosomal RNA". It matches the Rfam family "Bacterial small subunit ribosomal RNA", at positions 28 to 526 of the family's 1533-position model. The record is from RNAcentral.
GACGAACGCUGGCGGCGUGCCUAAUACAUGCAAGUCGAACGCAGUGGGGACGGGUGAGUAACCCGUGGGUAACCUCCCAUCAGAGGGGAUAACCCUUGGAAACAGGUGCUAAACCGAUACGGAUGGCUGGACCCGCGGGGCAUGAGCUAGUUGGUGUGGUAACGGCUCACCAAGGCCACGAUGCAUAGCCGCCCGUAGAGGGUGAUCGGCCACACUGGUACUGAGACACGUCCCAGACUCCUACGGGAGGCAGCAUUAGGGAAUCUUCGGCAAUGGACGAAAGUCUGACCGAGCAACUCCGCGUGAGUGAAGAAGGUUUUCGGAUCGUAAAACUCUGUUGUUAGAGAAGCGGUAUCUAACCAGAAAGCCACGGCUAACUACGUGCCAGCAGCCGCGGUAAUAC